GAUGAACGCUAGCGGCAGGCUUAACACAUGCAAGUCGAGGGGCAGCACGGGUAGCAAUACCUGGUGGCGACCGGCGCAAGGGUGCGUAACGCGUGAGCAACAUGCCCUAUACAGGGGGAUAAUCCAGGGAAACUUGGUCUAAUAUCCCAUAGCAUUUAGAGGAGGCAUCUUCACUAAAUUAAAGCUUCGGUGGUAUAGGAUUGGCUCGCGUGACAUUAGCUAGAUGGUGAGGUAACGGCCCACCAUGGCUAUGAUGUCUAGGGGUUCUGAGAGGAAGACCCCCCACACUGGGACUGAGACACGGCCCAGACUCCUACGGGAGGCAGCAGUGAGGAAUAUUGGACAAUGGAUGGAAAUCUGAUCCAGCCAUGCCGCGUGCAGGAAGACGGCCCUAUGGGUUGUAAACUGCUUUUAUAUGGGAGCAAUAAGGUUUACGAGUAGACCGAUGAGAGUACCAUAUGAAUAAGCAUCGGUAACUCCG
This 481-nucleotide ribosomal RNA is filed under the name uncultured bacterium. RNAcentral describes it as "bacterial SSU rRNA". It matches the Rfam family "Bacterial small subunit ribosomal RNA", at positions 28 to 505 of the family's 1533-position model. The record is from RNAcentral.